UACGGAGGGGGCUAGCGUUGUUCGGAAUUACUGGGCGUAAAGCGCACGUAGGCGGCUUUGUAAGUUAGAGGUGAAAGCCCAGGGCUUAACCCUGGAAUUGCCUUUAAGACUGCAUCGCUAGAAUCGUGGAGAGGUAAGUGGAAUUCCGAGUGUAGAGGUGAAAUUCGUAGAUAUUCGGAAGAACACCAGAGGCGAAGGCGACUUACUGGACACGUAUUGACGCUGAGGUGCGAAAGCGUGGGGAGCAAACAGG
This 253-nucleotide ribosomal RNA is filed under the name uncultured bacterium. RNAcentral's name for it is "partial 16S ribosomal RNA". It matches the Rfam family "Bacterial small subunit ribosomal RNA", at positions 524 to 776 of the family's 1533-position model. The record is from RNAcentral.